AUCCAUAGGUUAAUGAGGCGAACCGGGGGAACUGAAACAUCUAAGUACCCCGAGGAAAAGAAAUCAACCGAGAUUCCCCCAGUAGCGGCGAGCGAACGGGGAGCAGCCCAGAGCCUGAAUCAGUGUGUGUGUUAGUGGAAGCGUCUGGAAAGGCGCGCGAUACAGGGUGACAGCCCCGUACACAAAAAUGCACAUGCUGUGAGCUCGAUGAGUAGGGCGGGACACGUGGUAUCCUGUCUGAAUAUGGGGGGACCAUCCUCCAAGGCUAAAUACUCCUGACUGACCGAUAGUGAACCAGUACCGUGAGGGAAAGGCGAAAAGAACCCCGGCGAGGGGAGUGAAAAAGAACCUGAAACCGUGUACGUACAAGCAGUGGGAGCACAGAGCAAUCUGUGUGACUGCGUACCUUUUGUAUAAUGGGUCAGCGACUUAUAUUCUGUAGCAAGGUUAACCGAAUAGGGGAGCCGAAGGGAAACCGAGUCUUAACUGGGCGUUAAGUUGCAGGGUAUAGACCCGAAACCCGGUGAUCUAGCCAUGGGCAGGUUGAAGGUUGGGUAACACUAACUGGAGGACCGAACCGACUAAUGUUGAAAAAUUAGCGGAUGACUUGUGGCUGGGGGGGAAAGGCCAAUCAAACCGGGAGAUAGCUGGUUCUCCCCGAAAGCUAUUUAGGUAGCGCCUCGUGAAUUCAUCUCCGGGGGUAGAGCACUGUUUCGGCAAGGGGGUCAUCCCGACUUACCAACCCGAUGCAAACUGCGAAUACCGGAGAAUGUUAUCACGGGAGACACACGGUGGGUGCUAACGUCCGUCGUGAAGAGGGAAACAACCCAGACCGCCAGCUAAGGUCCCAAAGUCAUGGUUAAGUGGGAAACGAUGUGGGAAGGCCCAGACAGCCAGGAUGUUGGCUUAGAAGCAGCCAUCAUUUAAAGAAAGCGUAAUAGCUCACUGGUCGAGUCGGCCUGCGCGGAAGAUGUAACGGGGCUAAACCAUGCACCGAAGCUGCGGCAGCGACGCUUAUGCGUUGUUGGGUAGGGGAGCGUUCUGUAAGCCUGCGAAGGUGUGCUGUGAGGCAUGCUGGAGGUAUCAGAAGUGCGAAUGCUGACAUAAGUAACGAUAAAGCGGGUGAAAAGCCCGCUCGCCGGAAGACCAAGGGUUCCUGUCCAACGUUAAUCGGGGCAGGGUGAGUCGACCCCUAAGGCGAGGCCGAAAGGCGUAGUCGAUGGGAAACAGGUUAAUAUUCCUGUACUUGGUGUUACUGCGAAGGGGGGACGGAGAAGGCUAUGUUGGCCGGGCGACGGUUGUCCCGGUUUAAGCGUGUAGGCUGGUUUUCCAGGCAAAUCCGGAAAAUCAAGGCUGAGGCGUGAUGACGAGGCACUACGGUGCUGAAGCAACAAAUGCCCUGCUUCCAGGAAAAGCCUCUAAGCAUCAGGUAACAUCAAAUCGUACCCCAAACCGACACAGGUGGUCAGGUAGAGAAUACCAAGGCGCUUGAGAGAACUCGGGUGAAGGAACUAGGCAAAAUGGUGCCGUAACUUCGGGAGAAGGCACGCUGAUAUGUAGGUGAAGUCCCUCGCGGAUGGAGCUGAAAUCAGUCGAAGAUACCAGCUGGCUGCAACUGUUUAUUAAAAACACAGCACUGUGCAAACACGAAAGUGGACGUAUACGGUGUGACGCCUGCCCGGUGCCGGAAGGUUAAUUGAUGGGGUUAGCGCAAGCGAAGCUCUUGAUCGAAGCCCCGGUAAACGGCGGCCGUAACUAUAACGGUCCUAAGGUAGCGAAAUUCCUUGUCGGGUAAGUUCCGACCUGCACGAAUGGCGUAAUGAUGGCCAGGCUGUCUCCACCCUAGACUCAGUGAAAUUGAACUCGCUGUGAAGAUGCAGUGUACCCGCGGCAAGACGGAAAGACCCCGUGAACCUUUACUAUAGCUUGACACUGAACAUUGAGCCUUGAUGUGUAGGAUAGGUGGGAGGCUUUGAAGUGUGGACGCCAGUCUGCAUGGAGCCGACCUUGAAAUACCACCCUUUAAUGUUUGAUGUUCUAACGUGGACCCGUAAUCCGGGUUGCGGACAGUGUCUGGUGGGUAGUUUGACUGGGGCGGUCUCCUCCUAAAGAGUAACGGAGGAGCACGAAGGUUGGCUAAUCCUGGUCGGACAUCAGGAGGUUAGUGCAAUGGCAUAAGCCAGCUUGACUGCGAGCGUGACGGCGCGAGCAGGUGCGAAAGCAGGUCAUAGUGAUCCGGUGGUUCUGAAUGGAAGGGCCAUCGCUCAACGGAUAAAAGGUACUCCGGGGAUAACAGGCUGAUACCGCCCAAGAGUUCAUAUCGACGGCGGUGUUUGGCACCUCGAUGUCGGCUCAUCACAUCCUGGGGCUGAAGUAGGUCCCAAGGGUAUGGCUGUUCGCCAUUUAAAGUGGUACGCGAGCUGGGUUUAGAACGUCGUGAGACAGUUCGGUCCCUAUCUGCCGUGGGCGCUGGAGAACUGAGGGGGGCUGCUCCUAGUACGAGAGGACCGGAGUGGACGCAUCACUGGUGUUCGGGUUGUCAUGCCAAUGGCACUGCCCGGUAGCUAAAUGCGGAAGAGAUAAGUGCUGAAAGCAUCUAAGCACGAAACUUGCCCCGAGAUGAGUUCUCCCUGACUCCUUGAGAGUCCUGAAGGAACGUUGAAGACGACGACGUUGAUAGGCCGGGUGUGUAAGCGCAGCGAUGCGUUGAGCUAACCGGUACUAAUGAACCGUGAGGCUUAACCUU
RNAcentral lists this ribosomal RNA (2746 nucleotides) under Escherichia coli KTE101. Its description in RNAcentral is "bacterial LSU rRNA". It matches the Rfam family "Bacterial large subunit ribosomal RNA". The record is from RNAcentral. Lineage: Bacteria; Pseudomonadati; Pseudomonadota; Gammaproteobacteria; Enterobacterales; Enterobacteriaceae.